This 496-nucleotide ribosomal RNA is filed under the name uncultured bacterium. Its description in RNAcentral is "partial 16S ribosomal RNA". It matches the Rfam family "Bacterial small subunit ribosomal RNA", at positions 28 to 506 of the family's 1533-position model. The record is from RNAcentral.
GAUGAACGCUGGCGGCGUGCCUAAUACAUGCAAGUCGAGCGAACGGACGAGAAGCUUGCUUCUCUGAUGUUAGCGGCGGACGGGUGAGUAACACGUGGAUAACCUACCUAUAAGACUGGGAUAACUUCGGGAAACCGGAGCUAAUACCGGAUAAUAUUUUGAACCGCAUGGUUCAAAAGUGAAAGACGGUCUUGCUGUCACUUAUAGAUGGAUCCGCGCUGCAUUAGCUAGUUGGUAAGGUAACGGCUUACCAAGGCAACGAUGCAUAGCCGACCUGAGAGGUGGACCGGCCCACCGGGACAUGGAACCGGGUCCAAGCCCCUCGGGGGGGCAGCAGUGGGAAAUCUUCCCAAAUGGGCGAAACCCUACGGGAGCAACCCCGGGUGGGUGAUGAAGUUCUUCGGUUCGUAAAACCUUGUUUUUGGGGAAAAACAUAUUUGUAAAAAACGGUGCACAUUUUGACGGGACCAAAACAGAAAGCCACGGCAAACUCCGG